Molecule: long non-coding RNA, 1436 nt
Organism: Cucurbita moschata (crookneck pumpkin)
Lineage: Eukaryota; Viridiplantae; Streptophyta; Magnoliopsida; Cucurbitales; Cucurbitaceae
Exons: 10
Source: RefSeq, a predicted model, not a curated record
CCAAAUGCAGCGCACUAGUCUUUAAUUACUAACCGCUUUAGUUCAAGCAGCGUCUCCUGCUGUUUCUCUUCUCGUUGAUGAUCAUGGACUUCGAAGCUCAGGCUCAGAAAAGUUCGGACGAUUCUUCAACGUAUUAGCUGCUUGUUUAUUCUUUCUGGCGGAGCUCCUGCUCGUGGCGUGUACGCUUUGCGUUGAAUCUUAAAGGGCUUUCUUACGAGUACAGAGCAGUAAACCUUGGGAGAGGAGAACAAUUAACUCCAGGUGUCAAGUAUCGUCAGCUUAAGCAAACAACACGGCCCAUCUAGCUCAGUUGGUAGAGUGCAAGGCUCUUAACCUUGUGAUCGUGGGUUUGAGCCCCAUGGUGCCAAGUAUCGUUAGCUCAAGCUAACAACAAAGCCCGUCUAGCUCAGUUGGUAGAGCGCAAGGCUCUUAACCUUGUGGUCGUGGGUUCAAUCCCCACGGUGGGCGGUGUCAAGUAUCGUCAGCUCAAGCAACAAACAAGGCCUGUCUAGCUCAGUUGGUAGAGUGCAAGGCUCUUAACCUUGUGGUUGUGGGUUCGAGCCCCAUGGUGGGCGAAAACUAUGGAGGAAAAAUUUGGUCCACAAUAGCAACUACCAUGAGCUCAGUCCAAUCUACAAAAAGGUUUCAAUGAUCGUGAGAAACUGCUGAAGGAUUUUUCUGGCCAAUAUGCUUUUGGAGAUAAGUACAUGUGACAUGUUCCAAGUUUCCUACUUUAGCAAGGAUUUAUGGAUCUUACAAGAAGUUACGAGAAUUCCUAGCCUCGUCACCAGAUAAGCAACCCAACGCCCUUCUUUAGGUGUCUACAAGGCGGAGGCGCAAAAACAUGUGAUAUCAUUAACAGCUUCAAGUCGGUAGGGUAUAAGGCUCUUCACCUUGAGAUCGUUCGAACCCCAUGGUGGGCAAAGGUAAUUUUUUUCUUCUGUUUUUAUGUUUUUCACAAAAGGUAUUCUCAAAGCUUGGUAGGUUGAUUACUAAUCUCGAUUAUGUUUUUUUUCCCCAAAAAUGCAAUUAGAUUAGAAACAAAUCUAGAAAUAGAUAAAUUGGUUAAGAUAUGUAUUUUUGAAUAAAAUGUCAAAUAGCAAAACUACCCGUUUAAGUCCGUUGAUCUUGCACAAGGCUCUCAACCUUGUGUAUUCUAUUCGGUUUUGACAAUUUUUAGUACAAAUAAUAGUUAUUUAGAAAAAGAAAGUAAUUAGCCAUGCCGAAAAAAAUCUCAGAAGAAAAAGAAAUCUAUUCCAAGAAGAGGUUGGGAGUUAUUUCUUUAUUGAUUUAGGUUAAAGCUUCAAACACGAAAUAUUUAAAACCAUUAGAAUUAGUGUAGGCAGAUUUGUUCUCUGUAUUUGAAGUGAGGAGGCGAUUGGAUUCUAUAAAUUCUGAACAUCCAAUACAAAAAUUCUAGAAAAUUACAGAGUGAA